AACUGAUGCGUCAAAAAUAAUAGCAACGAAUGAGAAUUUAACAACAAUACCUGAAACUGAGAGUCAUACUGGUGAAACUUAAAUAAGUUUGAGGUUGAUUGAAUUCAAUCAAAUCAUAACAGAGAACAGUGGAUUACAAGCAGAAAACAAAAUUCUCAAAGAAUCGAAUCUAAAGUUCCAAAAUCUUAAAGAAGAAACUUACAGAGGCUUUAAAGCAAUACAAGUACAACUGGACAAAUUAUACGAUAUUUUGAAACAUAAACAAUCUUAUAUUGAGACUGUUAGUACUGCUGGUACUUCCUUAUCAACAAAGUUUGAUGAGGAAAUAGCUCAGAGGAAUAUUGAAUUUCCCAUUAAUUCUAUAAAAAACUUAGAAUUACUAGAAGAUCAACUCAUUGACACGGAUUUCGAAAAAGUUUUGGU
Spodoptera frugiperda (fall armyworm) is the source of this 423-nucleotide long non-coding RNA. RefSeq lists it as uncharacterized. Lineage: Eukaryota; Metazoa; Arthropoda; Insecta; Lepidoptera; Noctuidae. The transcript has 2 exons. The record is from RefSeq and is a predicted model, not a curated record.